Molecule: ribosomal RNA, 398 nt
Filed under: Polypedates braueri (Java treefrog)
Lineage: Eukaryota; Metazoa; Chordata; Amphibia; Anura; Rhacophoridae
Description: partial 16S ribosomal RNA
Rfam family: Bacterial large subunit ribosomal RNA
Source: RNAcentral
CUUGACUUCCAAAUAAGAGGUCCAGCCUGCCCAGUGAAUUUUUAACGGCCGCGGUAUCCUAACCGCGCGAAGGUAGCAUAAUCACUUGUUCUUUAAAUGGGGACUCGUAUCAACGGCAUCACGAGGGUUCUACUGUCUCCUCUUUUUGAUCAGUGAAAUUGAUCUUCCCGUGAAGAAGCGGGAAUAUUAAUAUAAGACGAGAAGACCCCAUGGAGCUUUAAACCAAAUAGCAACUUAACCAUAUAUUGCCUAAUAACUUUAAGCCCGUGCUACAAGGUUUUUGGUUGGGGUGACCGCGGAGUAAAACACAUCCUCCACGACGGAAAGACUUUAAUCUUUAUUUAAGAACUACAAUUCUAGAAAUUAGUAUACUAACGUUUACUGACCCGACAAUCGAU